Molecule: ribosomal RNA, 331 nt
Filed under: uncultured eukaryote
Lineage: Eukaryota
Description: partial 18S ribosomal RNA
Rfam family: Eukaryotic small subunit ribosomal RNA
Source: RNAcentral
CCCUUAGAUGUUCUGGGCCGCACGCGCGCUACACUGUUCGACGCAGCGAGUCUUAACCUUGACCGAAAGGUUUGGGUAAUCUUCAGCAAAGUCGAACGUGAUGGGGAUCGAUCAUUGCAAUUAUUGAUCGUGAACGAGGAAUUCCUAGUAAGUGCAAGUCAUCAGCUUGCGCUGAUUACGUCCCUGCCCUUUGUACACACCGCCCGUCGCUACUACCGAUUGAAUGGUUUAGUGAGACCUCUGGAUUGACGCUGGCUAGGGGGCGACCCUUGGCCAGACUGUUGAGAAACUGCUCAAACUUGAUCAUUUAGAGGAAGUAAAAGUCGUAACA